GCGAACGGGAAAGUGAGCAGAGAGGGAGAGGCAGAGUCUGGAGAGAGCGCAGCAGAAAAGGAGACAAAGAAAAGGCCGGACGAACGGCGAGCUGCGCCCAAGGAAGGGGGCUGUGAGCACUUGCUAAUCUCCACCCCAGCCCAGCUCUCUGCACCGUGGGCUCUAAUCCUGUUCCCAUAUUUUGGUUUCCAUUGUGAACCCACCAGUACUUUUUUCUCUAAGGAUAUUCUAUCCCCCUGACCCCCAUCCACCUGUGCUGCUGCUGCCGGGGUCUCCUCUCCUGCUCUAUGAAAUAUCUUCCUGCUCCUACCACCACAGCAGAGAUUACAGACCCCACUGGGACAGGGAGGACAGUGGAGGUCCUGGUGCAUUCAUCCGUGCCCGAAGCAUGUGGCCCCCGGCUUCUCCAGCAGCGGCGCCGUGUCCAGCUGUGCUCAAAGCAGAGCCCUGAAGCAUGGGAUCGUUCUCCAAGACCAGAUGGCGCCUUCCCAGAGGGAUCGGCCAGAGACCGCGUGACGAGCCAACAGCAGCAGAGUGCACGGUGACGGCAGCCUGGCUCGCUCGCUCGCUUUCCUUCGCCUUUUGGGUAUUGCUGAGACGGUGGACGAUCUCUUUCACGUGACGGAAAACCACAAAGGAAACAAAACAAAAACAAAAAUCCAACCUCCCCAGCGGGAGGGAGAGCGCAGGGUGUGUGACUCGCUCCCUGACCUUCUGCCACUCAACUGAAGCAAAGCACAACCUGGCCACGGCCAGCCAGACGCCUCUCCCUUUCAAGUGGCAGAGCCCGAUUCUCCUUUGGGUGCCUCAGCCCCAAAGAGCAACCAUGCUGAGUUGAGCUCAGAUUUCUCCAGGGCCUUGUCUAUGUAACUCACUGGUUACAGGUCCCCCGCUGUGCUCAGGGCACCUGUUACAGCCCUACCUCGGGAGCUGCAGCUCAUGUUUAUAGCUUUGUAAGUCCCCACUGCAACCCCUGGGGUGUUGGCCAGGACAGCUACACUGGCUGUAAGUCACCGCUGGUGGUAGCCACGGGGGAGAGGGCUCAGAUGUCUUUGCCCUGUGUUGCCUGACUGCUCUUAACAGUGCACCAGUAGGGCACUGGAGAACCUGACACUGCAGGCCUGUCUCUCCCUAGCUGCCACUGGUCCCUGUUUGAACUGGGAUGGCGACAGGAUAUUGACAAAAAGCCGCAGGUGACCAGAGUUCAUGAGAGGGAAGUAUCCAUCCAGAGCUCCCUCUGUGUCAUCUCCAGUCACAGGCCUGCUUAAAGCACAAUGUGUCUCAACCCUGGAUCUUAAAACCCACGUCAGCUCCCUCCAAGUCCUGACUCUUCCCAGCUUUGCUGUGGGUCCCCCCCCCAUCUUUACUUGUCUCCUCUUAUUGAGAC
This 1387-nucleotide long non-coding RNA is filed under the name Chrysemys picta bellii (western painted turtle). RNAcentral's name for it is "lncRNA (ENSCPBG00000010759.1)". The record is from RNAcentral. Lineage: Eukaryota; Metazoa; Chordata; Testudines; Emydidae.